RNAcentral lists this ribosomal RNA (711 nucleotides) under uncultured Acidobacteriota bacterium. Its description in RNAcentral is "bacterial SSU rRNA". It matches the Rfam family "Bacterial small subunit ribosomal RNA", at positions 105 to 795 of the family's 1533-position model. The record is from RNAcentral. Lineage: Bacteria; Pseudomonadati; Acidobacteriota.
GGUGAGUAACGCGUGAGUAACCUGCCCGGCAAGUGGGGAAUACCUCGGGGAAGCUCGAGCUAAUUCCGCAUGACAUCUUUGGGACGACAGUCCUGACGAUCAAAGCGGGGUCGCAAGAUCUCGCGCUACCGGAUGGGCCCGCGCCCGAUUAGCUAGUUGGUGAGGUAACGGCUCACCAAGGCUUCGAUCGGUAACCGGCCUGAGAGGGCGAUCGGUCACACCGGAACUGAGACACGGUCCGGACUCCUACGGGAGGCAGCAGUGGGGAAUCUUGCGCAAUGGGCGAAAGCCUGACGCAGCAACGCCGCGUGGAGGAUGAAGGCCCUUGGGUUGUAAACUCCUGUCGGCUGGGAAGAAAUCAUGCGGUGCUCAUACCACCGUGUGUUGACUGUACCAGCAAAGGAAGCCCCGGCUAACUCUGUGCCAGCAGCCGCGGUAAUACAGAGGGGGCUAGCGUUAUUCGGAAUUAUUGGGCGUAAAGGGCGCGUAGGCGGCCAUGCGUGUCUCCCGUGAAAUCCCUCGGCUUAACUGAGGACGUGCGGGAGAAACUGCAAGGCUCGAGUCCGGGAGAGGGGGGUGGAAUUCCCAGUGUAGCGGUGAAAUGCGUAGAUAUUGGGAGGAACACCGGUGGCGAAGGCGGCCCCCUGGACCGGUACUGACGCUGAGGCGCGAAAGCGUGGGUAGCAAAUGGGAUUAGAUACCCCAGUAGUC